Molecule: ribosomal RNA, 496 nt
Filed under: uncultured bacterium
Lineage: Bacteria
Description: partial 16S ribosomal RNA
Rfam family: Bacterial small subunit ribosomal RNA
Source: RNAcentral
GACGAACGCUGGCGGCGUGCGUAAUACAUGCAAGUUGAGCGAUGAAGAUUGGUGCUUGCCCCAAUUUGAAGAGCAGCGAACGGGUGAGUAACGCGUGGGGAAUCUGCCUUUGAGCGGGGGACAACAUUUGGAAACGAAUGCUAAUACCGCAUAACAACUUUAAACAUAGUUUUAAGUUUGAAAGAUGCAAUUGCAUCACUCAAAGAUGAUCCCGCGUUGUAUUAGCUAGUUGGUGAGGUAAAGGCUCACCAAGGCGAUGAUACAUAGCCGACCUGAGAGGGUGAUCGGCCACAUUGGGACUGAGACACGGCCCAAACUCCUACGGGAGGCAGCAGUAGGGAAUCUUCGGCAAUGGACGAAAGUCUGACCGAGCAACGCCGCGUGAGUGAAGAAGGUUUUCGGAUCGUAAAACUCUGUUGGUAGAGAAGAACGUUGGUGAGAGUGGAAAGCUCAUCAAGUGACGGUAACUACCCAGAAAGGGACGGCUAACUACGUG